Molecule: ribosomal RNA, 494 nt
Filed under: uncultured bacterium
Lineage: Bacteria
Description: partial 16S ribosomal RNA
Rfam family: Bacterial small subunit ribosomal RNA
Source: RNAcentral
GACGAACGCUGGCGGCGUGCUUAACACAUGCAAGUCGAACGGAAAGGCCUGCUUUCCCUUGUGGAUUGCGGGUACUCGAGUGGCGAACGGGUGAGUAACACGUGAGUGAUCUGCCCCCAACUUGGGUAUAAGCCUGGGAAACUGGGUCUAAUUCCCGAUAGGACUGCAGGGUGGUGCCUGUGGUGGAAAACGAUUUUCUAGUGGUUGGGGAUGAGCUCGCGGCCUAUCAGCUUGUUGGUGGGGUAAUGGCCUACCAAGGCGGCGACGGGUAGCCGGCCUGAGGGGGUGGACGGCCACAUUGGGACUGAGAUACGGCCCAGACGCCUACGGGAGGCAGCAGUGGGGAAUAUUGCACAAUGGGCGGAAGCCUGAUGCAGCGACGCCGCGUGGGGGAUGACGGCCUUCGGGUUGUAAACUCCUUUCGACCGCGAGGAAGCCACCUGGUUGGAAGGGUGGUGACGGUAGUGGUAGAAGAAGCACCGGCUAACUACGUG